ACCUGUAGUUUUGUGAUAAAAGUAGACACUAAAUCUGUAGUUUUGUGAAAUAAGCUCUUAAAUCUGUAGUUUUGUGAUAAAUUGUGCAAAAUAACUGCAGUUUUGUGAAAUUUACUCAUUGGUUUAUUUUUGGGCUUUUAAUUUAUGGUACUCCUACCAUUCAGUCGAGCAAGCUAUUUCUUCAAUAAUGUACCAGUAGGCAUGCCACUGUGUCGCACCUAUUUUUGUAGCGUUGUUUUAGUAUGAUGAUAACAAUGGCGAUUUUGUAAAUUUUAUCAAGUGCCAGUAAGAACGUUUAUUAAAAUCAUAGCUGUUUCAUUGUUUCUGUUUUCCAGAUCCAUGCCAUCAAGAUUUGACUUUUUUUGCCAUUCUUGUCAGGUCCAUCAUGUCUCCAAGAGUACGUUCACACAAUUUUGCAGAUUAGCAAUGUGAUACAGCUAUGAUGGUCCAGAUCCAACUCCGCUGUACUUCAGCACGUCUUCCACAGAAGCGAAUGUAGUGGAAGGCAACAUGGAAUGCUGGAAUGAUCCUUGGUACUGUCAGGCACUAGAGACCGGCUCUCAAUUGUGGUUGCCCAUGUCUUGAGAGUGUGGGGCUAAAGAGAUGUCUUAAAGAGGGAGUAUUUUGUAAAGAACAAGCUUGUAAGUAAUUUAAAUGCUUUUUUUUUUUGCAGAAGAGACCACAAACUUGUAAGUAACUUGCUAUGCUACAGGCAAAAAUUUAGUUGUUCCCAUGCGUACCAAAGAAAAAAAAAGCAGGUACAGCAACUUUCUCAGGAGGGGAGCAGAAUUUCACUUGAUACUGGAUUUGUUAUUUGGUAGUAGUAGCAUGUUAUUUCUCGCUUUUCAUGUCCUUUUGUUAUUUUGAUGUUUGACUCACCGUUUGUUUUUGUUUUUCUCUGGUCACAGUUUCAAGACAUUUAAGUGGAUGAACACACUUCGGCAUCCGAACUAGAAUGCUUCCAAUAGGCUGUAGAAACAAGGAGCCGCUUCUGUACUCCUUAACUGUUUUUUGACACUGCCAGAGAUAACAGUGACUCCAGAAUUCCACAGCAAUUAGGAUGCUGAGUUUUAGCAUUUCGGUUCUGAGUUCAGGCAGCAAAAAAACUCAAAUUUUGAUUA
Long non-coding RNA from Oryza sativa Japonica Group (Japanese rice), 1121 nucleotides. RefSeq lists it as uncharacterized. The record is from RefSeq and is a predicted model, not a curated record. NCBI's taxonomy places the organism in Eukaryota, Viridiplantae, Streptophyta, Magnoliopsida, Poales, Poaceae.